GACGAACGCUGGCGGCGUGCUUAACACAUGCAAGUCGAACGGAAAGGCCCUGCUUUUGUGGGGUGCUCGAGUGGCGAACGGGUGAGUAACACGUGAGUAACCUGCCCUUGACUUUGGGAUAACUUCAGGAAACUGGGGCUAAUACCGGAUAGGAGCUCCUGCUGCAUGGUGGGGGUUGGAAAGUUUCGGCGGUUGGGGAUGGACUCGCGGCUUAUCAGCUUGUUGGUGGGGUAGUGGCUUACCAAGGCUUUGACGGGUAGCCGGCCUGAGAGGGUGACCGGCGACAUUGGGACUGAGAUACGGCCCAGACGCCUACGGGCGGCAGCAGUGGGGAAUAUUGCACAAUGGGCGGAAGCCUGAUGCAGCAACGCCGCGUGCGUGAUGACGGCCUUCGGGUUGUAAACCGCUUUCGCCUGUGACGAAGCGUGAGUGACGGUAAUGGGUAAAGAAGCACCGGCUAACUACGUG
This 468-nucleotide ribosomal RNA is filed under the name uncultured bacterium. Its description in RNAcentral is "partial 16S ribosomal RNA". It matches the Rfam family "Bacterial small subunit ribosomal RNA", at positions 28 to 507 of the family's 1533-position model. The record is from RNAcentral.